Molecule: ribosomal RNA, 665 nt
Filed under: Microsporidium sp. BPAR18
Lineage: Eukaryota; Fungi; Microsporidia
Description: SSU rRNA
Rfam family: Microsporidia small subunit ribosomal RNA
Source: RNAcentral
AGCCAUGCAUGUUUAUGUAAUAAAGGACGAAUAGCUCAGUAAAACUGCGUUUAUUUAAUCUGUUUGAUAUGAUAACUACGUGAAAAUGUAGCUAAGCGAAUAGAAUAAGACGUAGGACUAUCAGUUUGUUGGUAGUGUAAUGGACUACCAAGACUAUAACGGUUAACGGGGAAUCAGGGUUUGAUACCGGAGAGGGAGCCUGAGAGAUUGCUCCCACGUCCAAGGACGGCAGCAGGCGCGAAAAUUGCCCACUCUUGUAGGAGGCAGUUAUGAGACGUUUUUAAAUUUUUUGUAAAAAGAAAGAUAUUAAUUGGAGGGCAAGUUUGGUGCCAGCAGCCGCGGUAAUACCGACUCCAAGAGUGUGUAUGAGAGAUGCUGCAGUUAAAAAGUCCGUAGUUUUUUAGAGGAACCAAUGGGGAUUAUAGUAUACAAGGGCGAGAGAUGAAAUGUCAAGACCCUUUGUGGACUAAGUGAGGCGAAAGCGAUAAUCCAGUAGGUAUUCAUUGAUCAAGGACGAAGGGUGGAGGAUCGAAAGUGAUUAGAUACCGCUGUAGUUCCACCAGUAAAAUAUGCCGACAUGUUUUUUGAGAACAAGGAACAGGGAGAAAUCUUAGAGUUCGGGCUCUGGGGAUAGUAUGCUCGCAAGGGUGAAAAUUAAAGAAAUU